This 468-nucleotide ribosomal RNA is filed under the name uncultured bacterium. RNAcentral describes it as "partial 16S ribosomal RNA". It matches the Rfam family "Bacterial small subunit ribosomal RNA", at positions 28 to 507 of the family's 1533-position model. The record is from RNAcentral.
GAUGAACGCUGACAGAAUGCUUAACACAUGCAAGUCUACUUGAAUUUGGGUUUUUUCACUUAGAUUUGGGUGGCGGAGGGGUGAGUAACGCGUAAUGAACUUGCCUUACAGCUAGGGACAACAUUUGGAAACGAAUGCUAAUACGUGAUAUUAUGAUUAUAAGGCAUUUUAGAAUUGUGAAAGCUAUAUGUGCUGGGGGAGAGCGUUGCGUCUCAUUAGCUAGUUGGCGAGGUAACGGAUCACCAGGGCGAGGAUGGGCAGCCGGCCUGAGAGGGUGAACGCCCACAAGGGAACGGAAACACGGCCAGUACUCCUACGGGAGGCAGCAGGGGGGAAUAUUGGCCAAUGGACCAAGAGUCAGAUCCAGCAACUCUGUGUGCACGAUCACGUUUUUCGGAAUAUAAAGUGCUUUCAGUGGAAAAAAAAAAAAUGACGGUACCAACAGAAGAAGUGACGGCUAAAUACGUG